This 1062-nucleotide ribosomal RNA is filed under the name Anguilla japonica (Japanese eel). RNAcentral describes it as "partial 16S rRNA". It matches the Rfam family "Bacterial large subunit ribosomal RNA", at positions 829 to 2494 of the family's 2925-position model. The record is from RNAcentral. Lineage: Eukaryota; Metazoa; Chordata; Actinopteri; Anguilliformes; Anguillidae.
CCUACCGAGCCUAGUUAUAGCUGGUUGCUUAAGAAAUGAAUGUUAGUUCAGCCUUAUGUAAUUCUAUAACCAAAACUUAUUAACAAAAAGAACAAAAGCAAUACAUAAGAGUUAGUCAAAGGGGGUACAGCCCCUUUGAAACAGAACACAACCUUAUUCAGGAGGACAAGGAUCAUACCAUAAAAGGACAAAAUUACCUCAGUGGGCCCAAAAGCAGCCACCUGUAAAGAAAGCGUUAAAGCUCCGGUAAAUACAGACCAAUAAUAAAGACAAUACACUCCCCACCCCCUAAAAAUAUUAAGCUAUCCUAUGCACACAUAGGAGAAACAAUGCUAAAAUCAGUAAUAAGAGGGCCCAAGCCCUCUCCUAGCACAUGUGUAAGUCAGAACGGACCGACCACUGACAAUUAACGGACCCAAACAGAGAGAAAAAGAACAAACUACAAAAAACAAGAAAAAUCUAUUUAAUACCACAAACCGUUAACCCAACACAGGAGUGCCUAAAGGAAAGACUAAAAGGAGAAGAAGGAACUCGGCAAACACAAACCCCGCCUGUUUACCAAAAACAUCGCCUCUUGCUAACAAAGGAAGUACUAGAGGUCCCGCCUGCCCUGUGACCACAAAGUUUAACGGCCGCGGUAUCCUGACCGUGCGAAGGUAGCGUAAUCAUUUGUCUUUUAAAUAGAGACCUGUAUGAAUGGCAUAACGAGGGUUUAACUGUCUCCUUCCCCUAGUCAAUGAAAUUGAUCUGCCCGUGCAGAAGCGGACAUAAAUACAUAAGACGAGAAGACCCUAUGGAGCUUUAGACAAAAGAUCAAACAUGUAAAGAAACCAAGUUAACCAAAAGGAACACAAAGGCCACGAAACCCGACGUAAACUGAUCCAAAUGUCUUCGGUUGGGGCGACCAUGGGGGAGAAAAAAGCCCCCACGAGGAACAGGGACUAAUCCCUAAGCCAAGAGAGACAUCUCUAAGCAACAGAAAAUCUGACCAAAAGUGACCCAGAAUACUAAUUCUGAUCAACGAACCAAGUUACCCUAGGGAUAACAGCGCAAUCCUUUCCC